Molecule: ribosomal RNA, 253 nt
Filed under: uncultured bacterium
Lineage: Bacteria
Description: partial 16S ribosomal RNA
Rfam family: Bacterial small subunit ribosomal RNA
Source: RNAcentral
UACGUAGGGCGCAAGCGUUGUCCGGAAUUAUUGGGCGUAAAGAGCUCGUAGGCGGUCUGUUGCGUCCGCUGUGAAAACUCGGGGCUUAACCCCGAGCCUGCAGUGGAUACGGGCAGACUAGAGGUAGGUAGGGGAGAAUGGAAUUCCCGGUGUAGCGGUGAAAUGCGCAGAUAUCGGGAGGAACACCGGUGGCGAAGGCGGUUCUCUGGGCCUUACCUGACGCUGAGGAGCGAAAGCGUGGGGAGCGAACAGG